UUUUUCAUUAGAAACAAAGUUUUAUUUAAGGUAGACACAACAGUGCAGAACAGAAACACCAUUUCACUUUUACAUACAGACACAGCAGCCUUGGUGUUCAGCCUUUCAACUCUCCUUAAAUAUCAGCAUGGUCAGAAAGCAGGGCGUGGACAGGUGACUUAUGUAGAAAUAUGAAAUAGAAUGGUGAUAAUCACCCAAAUACAGAAAUUUUGAGGCUCUUGGUUUUUAACAUUUUCUAAGACUAAUUUGUUCCCAUCCUUCAAUCUCUGUGGAAUAGAAACCAAAUCAUUCUUACCAAAUGACACAGAAAGAAAAAAAACAAAUACUAUUUUUCUUUAAAAGGUUUGAAGAAAUGUAGUCAUUAAAAAGAAUGUAAUUUUUGCCUAGAGCACCACUUUAUGGAAUACCAUUAAACUGUCAUUACUGUGCUUUUAAAAAAGUCAACUUGUUAAAGAGGAGCUGAUGGCUUCAGUUUUUGUAGAAAACCCUUGGCACACUGCAGAAUUCUUUUUUCCUCUUCUGAUGAGGCACAGAGAAAGUAUUCAAGGCAUGAGAAACUUUUACAACUUUCAGGAACAAUGACGUGCUUUAAGAGACAAGUAUUAUUACAGCAAAAAAGAGAACCCCCAAAGACAAUACAUUUCAUCUAAAGCAGGCAGGACAAACCAAUCACGGAUGAGCGUGUAUUAUAUUCCAUAAACAACACAAUGUCAUCUUUGCCAAACUUUUUCAAAGGUUUUACUUUACUUGUGAAAAACAGGACAAAAACGCCAAUGACUGCCCAGGAGGAGCCAUUUCAUCCUAGUACCCUCAGAUGAAAUUACUCAGAAUUGCACAUUUCAGUCAACAUCCCUUUUCAAAUUAUUCUGGGAAAUUACAGAGACCUUUAUAACUAAAAUUGCCCUGAUCUCUGGGAGGCAACACUGAAAACUUGUAUUGAACAUGGAAAGGAUCGCAAUUCACUCCAAAAUAAAAAGCUAAGAACUGGCACUACUUACAUGCAGAAAUCUAUCCAUUUGCAGAACAGGUCCUUUCUCCAGCAAGAGGCUAAAUAAGCCUCCCCUCCCCUGACCUGCAGAGGACCAUUUGCCUUUGAAAAUCAAAUUACAGUUGUCCACAAACUAGGAUUUAUUAUAACGGUGUGUUCUUCUGUUCAAGUAUUUACAGAAUGCCUAGUCCAAGCCAGUCACUGUUCUCCUGGAAUUUGUGAUACGGCAAUGGGUUUAAAAUGAAAGAAGCAAAAGAAACCAACAUGCGUGCAUUUUAAAAGCUGUGCAACAAUCCAGCUCUAAGAGUUGAACAGUUCUCACAGGGUCAGUGCCUGCAGUACCCUGCCACUGUCCCAGCUUAGCUCAUCCUUGCAAAGGAGAGGGUGCUCAGAACAGCAAGCUUCCACAAAAGAAACACACACACCAAACAGGACCUGCCACACAAUGUGGCACAUUUCUCCAUUUCUCCCAGGACACUUACGAAGUAGGACAAAGCAUCGUGCGGGUCAGAGGUGUGCCCACCCUCCCCCAGCCCAGCAAGGCUGGCCCCAGGGGACAAUGCCGCGAUCUGGAGGCUGAGAGGACGCAGUCCGCGCGGACCCCUGAUCAGGCUCAGUAGAUGGAGAAGUUAACUUUCCUAGUAACGCUUUUCCUCAAGUCAAAAUGUAUGGCCAGAUGUGCCCAUUAGCCUCUUAUCACCAUGCUUG
This 1696-nucleotide long non-coding RNA is filed under the name Bos taurus (domestic cattle). RNAcentral's name for it is "long non-coding RNA NONBTAT017301". Lineage: Eukaryota; Metazoa; Chordata; Mammalia; Artiodactyla; Bovidae. The record is from RNAcentral.